AGAACGAACGCUGGCGGCGUGCUUAACACAUGCAAGUCGAACGCGAAAGUUUUCUUCGGAAAGCGAGUAGAGUGGCGCACGGGUGAGUAACGCGUAAGUAAUCUACCCUGGUAUCUGGGAUAACCCACCGAAAGGUGUGCUAAUACCGGAUACGCUGAUUUAUCAGGAAAGGUGGCCUCUUCAUGAAAGCUACUGUACCAGGAGGAGCUUGCGUACCAUUAGCUAGUUGGUAGGGUAAUGGCCUACCAAGGCGACGAUGGUUAGCGGGUCUGAGAGGAUGAUCCGCCACACUGGAACUGGAACACGGACCAGACUCCUACGGGAGGCAGCAGUGAGGAAUAUUGCGCAAUGGGGGAAACCCUGACGCAGCGACGCCGCGUGGAUGAUGAAGGCCUUCGGGUCGUAAAAUCCUGUCAGAUGGAAAGAAAUGUAUAGAGGUUAAUAUCCUUUAUAUUUGACGGUACCAUCAAAGGAAGCACCGGCUAACUCCGUGCCAGCAGCCGCGGUAAUACGGAGGGUGCAAGCGUUGUUCGGAAUUACUGGGCGUAAAGCGCGCGUAGGCGGCUUUUUAAGUCAGAUGUGAAAGUCCACGGCUCAACCGUGGAAGUGCAUUUGAAACUGGGGAGCUUGAGUACUGGAGGGGGUGGUGGAAUUCCCGGUGUAGAGGUGAAAUUCGUAGAUAUCGGGAGGAAUACCGGUGGCGAAGGCGACCACCUGGCCAGAUACUGACGCUGAGGUGCGAAAGCGUGGGGAGCAAACAGGAUUAGAUACCCUGGUAGUCCACGCCGUAAACGAUGUCAACUAGGUGUUGGGGAGGUUAAUCUUCUCAUUGCCGCAGCUAACGCAUUAAGUUGACCGCCUGGGGAGUACGGUCGCAAGAUUA
RNAcentral lists this ribosomal RNA (883 nucleotides) under uncultured bacterium. RNAcentral's name for it is "bacterial SSU rRNA". It matches the Rfam family "Bacterial small subunit ribosomal RNA", at positions 26 to 896 of the family's 1533-position model. The record is from RNAcentral.